UGGGGAAUAUUGCACAAUGGGCGCAAGCCUGAUGCAGCCAUGCCGCGUGUGUGAAGAAGGCCUUCGGGUUGUAAAGCACUUUCAGCGAGGAGGAAGGUGGUGAGCUUAAUACGCUCAUCAAUUGACGUUACUCGCAGAAGAAGCACCGGCUAACUCCGUGCCAGCAGCCGCGGUAAUACGGAGGGUGCAAGCGUUAAUCGGAAUUACUGGGCGUAAAGCGCACGCAGGCGGUUUGUUAAGUCAGAUGUGAAAUCCCCGGGCUCAACCUGGGAACUGCAUUUGAAACUGGCAAGCUAGAGUCUCGUAGAGGGGGGUAGAAUUCCAGGUGUAGCGGUGAAAUGCGUAGAGAUCUGGAGGAAUACCGGUGGCGAAGGCGGCCCCCUGGACGAAGACUGACGCUCAGGUGCGAAAGCGUGGGGAGCAAACAGGAUUAGAUACCCCUGGUAGUCCACGCUGUAAACGAUGUCGAUUUUGGAGGUUGUGCCCUUGAGGCGUGGCUUCCGGAGCUAACGCGUUAAAUCGACCGCCUGGGGAGUACGGCCGCAAGGUUAAAACUCAAAGGAAUUGACGGGGUCUAGCUG
This 581-nucleotide ribosomal RNA is filed under the name uncultured bacterium. RNAcentral describes it as "partial 16S ribosomal RNA". It matches the Rfam family "Bacterial small subunit ribosomal RNA", at positions 355 to 926 of the family's 1533-position model. The record is from RNAcentral.